GACGAACGCUGGCGGCGUGCUUAACACAUGCAAGUCGAACGGCAAGGCCCUGCUUUUGUGGGGUGCUCGAGUGGCGAACGGGUGAGUAACACGUGAGUAACCUGCUCUUGACUUUGGGAUAACUUCAGGAAACUGGGGCUAAUACCGGAUAGGAGCUCCUGCUGCAUGGUGGGGGUUGGAAAGUUUCGGCGGUUGGGGAUGGACUCGCGGCUUAUCAGCUUGUUGGUGGGGUAGUGGCUUACCAAGGCAUUGACGGGUAGCCGGCCUGGGAGGGUGACCGGCCACAUUGGGACUGAGAGACGGCCCAGACUCCUACGGGAGGCAGCAGUGGGGAAUAUUGCACAAUGGGCGGAAGCCUGAUGCAGCAACGCCGCGUGCGGGAUGACGGCCUUCGGGUUGUAAACCGCUUUCGCCUGUGACGAAGCGUGAGUGACGGUAAUGGGUAAAGAAGCACCGGCUAACUACGUG
This 468-nucleotide ribosomal RNA is filed under the name uncultured bacterium. RNAcentral's name for it is "partial 16S ribosomal RNA". It matches the Rfam family "Bacterial small subunit ribosomal RNA", at positions 28 to 507 of the family's 1533-position model. The record is from RNAcentral.